CAGCCCACUUGCAACUAAACCCCAGAAUCGUUUCCUUCUUUCUUCUCCUCCAAUCCACGAUCCCCUCCGGGGCUUCUCAACCCGAGACGCUUCUGGAAUCUUCUAGAACCUCCUCCACGCGGAUCUCUCACCCGUACGUGAUAGAAGGCUUGAGUCUCCACAGCCCGACCCGGCCUCCCUCCAUUGCGCGCCGCCGCGCCGCGUAGUCCGCCUGCCGUCCAUGGGCCGGUUCGGGUGGCUCCGGCUCGCGUCGAGAUCCCUCGCGCUCCGCUCCAGCGAGGUGGCUGCGCAGAGGAGCACAUGGAUUCGACCGAAUACACCUUGCAGCUCUACUGGCAUCUAUAUUGGUGAUAGGUGCUAUGGACGAUUCAUGUUGACAUCAUUUGUGUUGAGCAGGUUCUUUCAUGCUACAGGUCACUGUUGUUCGAUACACAAAGACUAUUACAAGAUUCUUGGUGUUCCUAAAGAUGCAUCGCAGGAUGACAUCAAGAAGGCUUUUCAUUCUCUUGCAAAAAAGUACCAUCCAGACACAAAUAGAGGCAAUACUGCUGCAAAAAGGAUGUUUCAAGAAAUAAGAGAUGCAUACGAGACGUUACGGGAUCCCUCAAAGAGAGAGCAAUAUGACAUGCUAUUUUCAAGAGGGUCAAGGGGGGAGUUUGAUGGGUCCUCUCAUCAGAACAGUGACCCUUUCACAGAAUUCUACAGACAGAAUGAUGGUCCUUUCUCUAGUAAAUUCUAUAAAAUAUUCUCUGAGGUUUUCCAGCAUGACGUAAAUAUACAUGCACAUGAUGUUGAGGUAGAGAUGAAUCUAUCUUUUAGCGAAGCUGCUAAUGGAUGCAUAAAGCAAGUGUCCUUCAGCGCAAAAAAUGUUUGUGAUUCAUGUGAUGGGAGAGGUUACUUGGCGAAUGCAAAGAGAUAUGUUUGUCCCUCAUGUAAAGGUUUAGGAAGAGUCACUAUGUACCCAUUCACAUCCAUUUGUAGUUCUUGCAGAGGUGUCGGGAAAGUAAUUAAGGAUUACUGCUUGGCAUGCAAAGGUUCAGGGGUGGUAGAUGGUAUGAAAUAUGUAAAUGUGACUAUUCCAGCAGGAGUCGAUUCUGGUGAUACAAUUCAUGUACCGGAGGCUGGAAAUAGUGGUGGACUUGGUGCCCAACCUGGAAGUCUAUACAUAAAACUUCAAGUAGCAAUUGAUCCGGUGUUUGUUCGAGAUGGUGCUGACAUCCAUGUCGAGAAAAGGAUAAGCUUCACACAGGCAAUCCUUGGUGGAAAAGUUGAAGUGCCUACUCUAAACGGGAAAACAGAAGUGAAGAUACCCAAAGGAGUCCAAUCAGGACAAGUUCUAGUUUUAAGGGGGAAAGGAUUGCCAAAUCUGGCAGGAUACUCCGGGGACCAAUAUGUCCGAUUCCGAAUCCAUUUCCCCUCGGUGGUUACUGAACGUCAGCGUGCACUGUUGGAAGAAUUUGCAGUAGAGGAAGCUACAAAAGAACAAAAUACUUCUGUAGCAGGAAACUGGUUUCUGCAUGAUACCUGCAGCAGGGAACAGAAUCUCUAGCGAGAACCAGUUUUCUCCGUGGCAUCUGAGAGUUGUGUGAACUUCGGUUUGAAUUUCAGAAUAAAAGGGGUCAUAACCUUCAGCAAAACAGAAUUAGUUCCUGCCGGCAGUUGUAAGGUGGGAGCUAGUUGCAGAAAAUAUAACGGCUCAAAAUCUCAUGAUCGGAGUUGGCAUCCUCCUCCUGAUUCACCUGAUACUGAACAAGGCUGUGAGCUAAGGCUUUGAAGCUGCACUAUGUUGGGGCUGUGGGGCGAUAUCAAGCACUAAAAACUCUAUGGAGAUUGAGCUUAACACAAAAAUACUAAGGGUCACGAUUCUUUAAAGAUUUUUUCACCCAUGAGAAAUCACAAUGUUGAAGAAGGCGUGGACUAGAGGUCGCUGGUUUCUAUGGGAAAGAUAGUCAUACCGAAUAAUAUUUGGAUCUCAUUACAUAGUUAGGAGCCGUCUGAAGUUUUGUUUUCGAUAAUUCAACGUGUUGCCUAAAUACUAUUGCGGUGGCUUCUCUUCACCAGUGUAACAUGGAUGUUUUUUUCUGAGGAAAGUAACAUGGAUGCUUGACAAUGGUAAUAGUUCAAUGCUUGCAACCAUGCUGGGUGAAAUUGAGUGGAAAUUUCCUUGUAAA
Molecule: RNA transcript, 2171 nt
Organism: Phragmites australis (common reed)
Lineage: Eukaryota; Viridiplantae; Streptophyta; Magnoliopsida; Poales; Poaceae
Gene name: chaperone protein dnaJ 1, mitochondrial-like
Exons: 20
Source: RefSeq, a predicted model, not a curated record